Lonchura striata (white-rumped munia) is the source of this 621-nucleotide non-coding RNA. The record is from RefSeq and is a predicted model, not a curated record. NCBI's taxonomy places the organism in Eukaryota, Metazoa, Chordata, Aves, Passeriformes, Estrildidae.
UGUUUUUCCUGGGCCCCAGGAGAUCUUCGGGCCCAUCCUGGCCGUGUUCGUGUACCCCGAGCAGCGCUACCGCGAGGUGCUGGAGCUCAUCGACACCACCACCCCCUACGGCCUCACGGGGGCGAUCUUCGCCCGGGAGAAGGCUGCCAUCGAGGAGUCCCUGCGGGUGCUGCGCCACGCCGCCGGCAACAUCUACAUCAACGACAAAUCCACGGGGGCCGUGGUGGCCCAGCAGCCCUUCGGGGGCUCCCGCAUCUCAGGCACCAAUGACAAGCCCGGGGGUCCCCACUACCUGCUGCGCUGGACGUCCCCGCAGGCCAUCAAGGAGACACACGUGGCCCUGGGGGACUGGCAGUACCCCUGCAUGCAGUGACCCUGGGGGACUGGCAGUACCCCUGCAUGCAGUGACCCUGGGGACAGCUGCCACCGCAGCGCCGGCAGCGCUCGCACUACUGACCCCCCACCUGCCCCUCCUAGCUCCUGAAAAAAAAACAAACAAAAAAAGUUGUUAAAUGGUAAAAGCUCGGAGCUGCUCGUGGUGUCCUCGGCCGCCCCUGGGGACACGAUGGUGAGUGUGCCACUGCUUGGGUUGCAUGACCUUAAAGGGCUUUGCCAACCUCA